GAUGAACGCUGGCGGCGUGCCUAAUACAUGCAAGUCGAGCGAACUGAUUAGAAGCUUGCUUCUAUGACGUUAGCGGCGGACGGGUGAGUAACACGUGGGCAACCUGCCUGUAAGACUGGGAUAACUUCGGGAAACCGAAGCUAAUACCGGAUAGGAUCUUCUCCUUCAUGGGAGAUGAUUGAAAGAUGGUUUCGGCUAUCACUUACAGAUGGGCCCGCGGUGCAUUAGCUAGUUGGUGAGGUAACGGCGCACCAAGGCAACGAUGCAUAGCCGACCUGAGAGGGGGAUCGGCCACACUGGGACUGAGACACGGCCCAGACUCCUACGGGAGGCAGCAGUAGGGAAUCUUCCGCAAUGGACGAAAGUCUGACGGAGCAACGCCGCGUGAGUGAUGAAGGCUUUCGGGUCGUAAAACUCUGUUGUUAGGGAAGAACAAGUACAAGAGUAACUGCUUGUACCUUGACGGUACCUAACCAGAAAGCCACGGCUAACUACGUGCCAGCAGCCGCAGUAA
This 514-nucleotide ribosomal RNA is filed under the name uncultured bacterium. RNAcentral describes it as "partial 16S ribosomal RNA". It matches the Rfam family "Bacterial small subunit ribosomal RNA", at positions 28 to 523 of the family's 1533-position model. The record is from RNAcentral.